This 402-nucleotide ribosomal RNA is filed under the name uncultured bacterium. Its description in RNAcentral is "bacterial SSU rRNA". It matches the Rfam family "Bacterial small subunit ribosomal RNA", at positions 355 to 774 of the family's 1533-position model. The record is from RNAcentral.
UGGGGAAUAUUGCACAAUGGGCGAAAGCCUGAUGCAGCAACGCCGCGUGAGUGAUGAAGGCCUUCGGGUUGUAAAGCUCUGUCUUCUGGGACGAUAAUGACGGUACCAGAGGAGGAAGCCACGGCUAACUACGUGCCAGCAGCCGCGGUAAUACGUAGGUGGCAAGCGUUGUCCGGAUUUACUGGGCGUAAAGGAUGCGUAGGCGGAUACUUAAGUCAGAUGUGAAAAUCCCGGGCUUAACUUGGGAACUGCAUUUGAAACUGGGUAUCUAUAGUGCGGGAGAGNAAAGUGGAAUUCCUAGUGUAGCGGUGAAAUGCGUAGAGAUUAGGAAGAACACCAAUGGCGAAGGCGACUUUCUGGACCGUAACUGACGCUGAGGCAUGAAAGCGUGGGGAGCAAACA